Molecule: ribosomal RNA, 484 nt
Filed under: uncultured bacterium
Lineage: Bacteria
Description: partial 16S ribosomal RNA
Rfam family: Bacterial small subunit ribosomal RNA
Source: RNAcentral
AUUGAACGCUGGCGGCAGGCCUAACACAUGCAAGUCGAGCGGAUGAAGGGAGCUUGCUCCUGGAUUCAGCGGCGGACGGGUGAGUAAUGCCUAGGAAUCUGCCUGGUAGUGGGGGAUAACGUCCGGAAACGGGCGCUAAUACCGCAUACGUCCUGAGGGAGAAAGUGGGGGAUCUUCGGACCUCACGCUAUCAGAUGAGCCUAGGUCGGAUUAGCUAGUUGGUGGGGUAAAGGCCUACCAAGGCGACGAUCCGUAACUGGUCUGAGAGGAUGAUCAGUCACACUGGAACUGAGACACGGUCCAGACUCCUACGGGAGGCAGCAGUGGGGAAUAUUGGACAAUGGGCGAAAGCCUGAUCCAGCCAUGCCGCAUGUGUGAAGAAGGUCUUCGGAUUGUAAAGCACUUUAAGUUGGGAGGAAGGGCAGUAAGUUAAUACCUUGCUGUUUUGACCUUACCAACAGAAUAAGCACCGGCUAACUUCGUG